RNAcentral lists this ribosomal RNA (253 nucleotides) under uncultured bacterium. Its description in RNAcentral is "partial 16S ribosomal RNA". It matches the Rfam family "Bacterial small subunit ribosomal RNA", at positions 524 to 776 of the family's 1533-position model. The record is from RNAcentral.
UACAUAGGGUGCGAGCGAUAAUCGGAAUUACUGCGCGUAAAGCGCACGUAGGUGGCGACGUAAGUCGGGUGUGAAAGCCCCGGGCUCAAGCUGGGAAUUGCAUUCGAGACUGCAUUGCUGGAGUACGGAAGAGGAGGGCGGAAUUCCCGGUGUAGCGGUGAAAUGCGUAGAUAUCGGGAGGAACAUCAGUGGCGAAGGCGGCCCUCUGGUCCAGUACUGGCAGUCAAGUGCGAAGGCGUGGGGAGCAAACAUG